Molecule: ribosomal RNA, 261 nt
Filed under: Triticum aestivum (bread wheat)
Lineage: Eukaryota; Viridiplantae; Streptophyta; Magnoliopsida; Poales; Poaceae
Description: partial small subunit ribosomal RNA
Source: RNAcentral
AUGACAUAUCGGCGGCCUCCCGCGGGGAGGACCGCCGGACGCAAUGAAUAUCCUAUCUUGGAAUUGCCGGGGGGGAACCGCCGGACAGUUCGUGAGGUUUUGGCCCUCUCAAAAGCCAAUAACACCAAGAUAGUCUUUCUCUGUGAGACUAGACAAGAUGCAAAUAAAGUGGAGAAGUUGAAGUGGAGAUUGGGCCUAAAGGGCUUUCAUGGUGUUAGUAGCGAUGGUCGGAGUGGUGGUCUUGCACUGUUCUGGGAGGAA